UACGAAGGGGGCUAGCGUUGCUCGGAAUCACUGGGCGUAAAGGGUGCGUAGGCGGGUCUUAAGUCAGAGGUGAAAUCCUGGAGCUCAACUCCAGAACUGCCUUUGAUACUGAGGAUCUUGAGUUCGGGAGAGGUGAGUGGAACUGCGAGUGUAGAGGUGAAAUCGUAGAUAUUCGCAAGAACACCAGUGGCGAAGGCGGCUCACUGGCCCGAUACUGACGCUGAGGCACGAAAGCGUGGGGAGCAACAGGA
RNAcentral lists this ribosomal RNA (251 nucleotides) under uncultured bacterium. RNAcentral's name for it is "partial 16S ribosomal RNA". It matches the Rfam family "Bacterial small subunit ribosomal RNA", at positions 524 to 777 of the family's 1533-position model. The record is from RNAcentral.